This 73-nucleotide transfer RNA is filed under the name Bacteroidota bacterium. RNAcentral describes it as "tRNA-Trp". It matches the Rfam family "tRNA". Rfam says of the family: Transfer RNA (tRNA) molecules are approximately 80 nucleotides in length. The record is from RNAcentral. Lineage: Bacteria; Pseudomonadati; Bacteroidota.
GCUAGUGAGGCCCAAAUGGCAGGGCACUGGUCUCCAAAACCGGAGGAUGUAGGUUCGACUCCUACCGCUAGCG